CGAGGAGGAGCACUAUGUCCUCCAUGCGUCCUGGUCACUUUCCCCACCUGGGUUGUGCUGUGAGGGGAGCAUCAGAAGCUGCUGCUCUCUGCCCUCCCCUUAUGCAGCCUGGUUGAGGAAAGUGACCUGGAUGCAGGGAGCUCGGAUCAUCUCGCUUCUUGCCCCCGUCGCCCCUGCUAGGGAAGGCUGCUGUGUGUUGUCUUUAUGGCUGUACUUUCAGUGAUGCAGGUUUCUCUAUCCCAUUGUUCCAGGGGCAUCCUACUAGAUUGCCAGCUGCUUUUCAACUGCAGUGUGGAGACUGCUUGUGUGUGUGGAGAGACUGUGUGUGUGUGUUGAGGUAGGUAGGACCAGAUCAUUAUUAUCCCUACUUGAAAGAGGGAGAAGCUAAGCCUGAGAAAGGAGAAUUGACUUGUCUUAGGUCGCACAGCCAGUCAGAAGCAGAGUUGGGAAUAGGACCCAAGAGCCCUGAUUUUCAAACUAACCAUUGGAUCUUGAAUAUCAAACACUGAGUGACCUGAAUCAAGUGCUCUCAGAUGAGCUCCAGACUAACAACAGUGACAGUAAUUAUUCAGCAAGUAUUUGAGGAGAACUCCAAUGUUAGAGAGAAUCAUGAACUGCUCAGAGACAACUAAUGCAGAGAAGCAGCAAAAUUCAUCAAACAUAGAACUGGUUCUGACUUAGAAAGAGAACAAGGACCUGAGUCUCCUCCCUGUCAAUAACCCCCUGCUCAGCCAAUCAGGGCAGAGACUGAGGACGGGAGACUGAGGGUUCUUACCAGGGAGCCCGAAGGAUGGCCCAGGUCACUGGUGGGGAUCACUGCCCAAGCACUAGUUCAGUCCCACAGUUUUGGGUGGACCUCCCACAGUGGGAGCUGCAGAGCACUGCCCUGCAACACACACACACACACGCAUGCACCUCCUGGUGUUGGGGAGAGGAACAGGAGAAAGGACAAAAAAGCAAGAGACGAAGACAAAGGAGGGAGGGAGGAAUGAAGGAAAAGGUGAAACAAAAAGGACAAAUCCUAAUGUCCCCAGUGAUUCUAAGGGACAAAAUCCCAGGUGUGGAAUAAUAUUCUGCCUCCUUAAGCUCGUGUUUUCCAUGCCUAGAAUUCAACUCUCACCAGAUGGAUCAGACUGAACAGGUUUCAAUCCUCCAGGAGGCUCUUACCUUCUAAACAGGGACGAUUGUUUUCUAGUAAAAUCACUACAAGGGAAGGAGAAAAGUCGAAAGAGGUUCCUCCUGGCGCUCACAUCCGUGAACCCGAAUACUCUCUCAGUCCUCAAAGAGAGACCUGGAGAAGGAGACUUGUUGAAGCAAAGCCACAGGGGUGUCUCAGG
This is a non-coding RNA of Chelonoidis abingdonii (Abingdon island giant tortoise), 1337 nucleotides long. The record is from RefSeq and is a predicted model, not a curated record. NCBI's taxonomy places the organism in Eukaryota, Metazoa, Chordata, Testudines, Testudinidae.